This 95-nucleotide ribosomal RNA is filed under the name uncultured bacterium. Its description in RNAcentral is "partial 16S ribosomal RNA". The record is from RNAcentral.
CACACGCCCGUCAAGCCACGAAAGCGGGGAGUGCUCGAAGUCGCUUCGCUCAACCUUCGGGAGAGCGGCGCUAAAGCAAGCUUCGUGAUUGGGAC